This is a non-coding RNA of Pelobates cultripes (western spadefoot toad), 212 nucleotides long. NCBI's taxonomy places the organism in Eukaryota, Metazoa, Chordata, Amphibia, Anura, Pelobatidae. The record is from the annotation of a GenBank genome assembly.
GGAGGACAGGCAAAGUGCGGGUAGUGGGUUGAGUAGAGGAUGAAAGAAUGGAGAGAAGAGAAGAAAGGUCUGGAGGUGGAAGGGGAGAGGGAUCAGCGGGAUCUGGAGGAGUGCGGUGGGUAAGGGUCGAGAGGGCAGAGAGCAGGGACGAGAGAUCAGUGGAUGGAGACGGUUGAGCGGGCGUCUCUGGGGAGGGGCCAGUCGGGGUGGAG